CUGGCCUCAAAUCAGGUGGGACUACCCGCUGAACUUAAGCAUAUCAAUAAGCGGAGGAAAAAAACUAACAAGGAUUCCCCUAGUAACGGCGAGUGAAGCGGGAUGAGCUCAAAUUUAAAAUCUGGCAGUCUAAGAUUGUCCGAGUUGUAGUCUAGAGAAGCGUUUUCCGCGUAGGCCUGUGUACAAGUCCCUUGGAAUAGGGCGUCAUAGAGGGUGAGAAUCCCGUCCUUGACACAGAUCAUCUAUGCUUUGCGAUGCGCUCUCGAAGAGUCGAGUUGUUUGGGAAUGCAGCUCAAAAUGGGUGGUAAAUUCCAUCUAAAGCUAAAUACUGGCGAGAGACCGAUAGCGAACAAGUACCGUGAGGGAAAGAUGAAAAGCACUUUGGAAAGAGAGUUAAACAGUACGUGAAAUUGUUGAAAGGGAAACGAUUGAAGUCAGUCAUGUGGUUCGAGAUUCAGCCGGUUCUGCCGGUGUAUUUCUCGAGCUACAGGCCAGCAUCAGUUUCGACCGGUGGAAAAAGUUGGAGGGAAUGUGGCAUCCUCGGAUGUGUUAUAGCCCUCUUUCACAUGCAUCGGACGGGACUGAGGAACGCAGCGUGCCUUUAUGGUCGGUCUUCGGACACGAACGCGCUAGGAUG
This 637-nucleotide ribosomal RNA is filed under the name Udeniomyces puniceus. RNAcentral describes it as "eukaryotic LSU rRNA". It matches the Rfam family "Eukaryotic large subunit ribosomal RNA", at positions 1 to 625 of the family's 3401-position model. Lineage: Eukaryota; Fungi; Basidiomycota; Tremellomycetes; Cystofilobasidiales; Mrakiaceae. The record is from RNAcentral.